AAUGGCAGAACUGAGAUAUUGUGACUUUUCAGAAACAGGACUGUGACCAUAACUGUAAAUUUGCUGGAACAGAACUGUGACAUUGAGAGUGGCUUUGUUGGAAAUGGCUAAUGUUGCAGGAAAUACUGAAAAGUAAUUUGUCAAGGUGCAGCCAAUCAACAUCAGUACUGCACAAUUAGGAAAGAGAAAAGGGAAACAGCUA
Pelobates cultripes (western spadefoot toad) is the source of this 202-nucleotide non-coding RNA. Lineage: Eukaryota; Metazoa; Chordata; Amphibia; Anura; Pelobatidae. The record is from the annotation of a GenBank genome assembly.